Esox lucius (northern pike) is the source of this 3595-nucleotide long non-coding RNA. The record is from Ensembl. Lineage: Eukaryota; Metazoa; Chordata; Actinopteri; Esociformes; Esocidae.
GAUGAUUUGGAUGUUUAUUUGAUAACAUUUAUUGAAAAGGGAAGAAAAAAAAUAAGAAAUUAAAAACAAUCCUCAGUUAGGAAAUAAAAUAUAAAAAAAAAAAAUUACAUGCAAAGUAAUUUACAUCUGCUAAAAAAAUACUUUUCCCGAGUAGCCUCUCAUUGAGGGUUAGGUGAUUGGAUUUUAUAGUGAGACAAUCUACACAUAAACAAUCAACAUACAGGAGAACUGUAAUAAAAUGUUUACCAACAGGAUUUGUAAUUCAUUCAGUUAGGUAUUAACUUUAUUAUAUUUCUCUAUUCAUUACAAAUACAUUUCCCUGAGGAAACAAUUCCACUGGAAGUUCUACAGAUUCAGUGGCUGAUAUGUUCUAAAUGCCUCUUAAUGGUUUGUUUUAGACACUUAAAAUGUAACCAGGUGAUUAGUAAUGUCAAUGGCUGGUAUAAUGUACCUUUAAAAGAGCAUAGAGUUCAGCAUACAAUUCAUUGCUUCGAUAUAGCAGAAUCUAGGUAAAACAUGAUUUUGUGGGGGAAAAAACGGGAAAACAUUUGCAGAUUUUCAGAUAAUCAUUACUGAUUCAAAGUUGAACCACUGUGAUAGCUGAGAUACUGAAUCCUUCAUCUAGUAGCCAGAAUAAAAAAAAAAACUUGAUAUUCACAGCAAAGCACAUUCUUCAGCCAGUAAUAUACAUCAUUUUAACAUAAAAGACAAACUGUUUUUUGUAUAAAACAAAGCAUUUUUUACAAAUUGUAGGUAACAGGUGAUAGUGAAAACAGAGAUUGUCUGGAUAUUUCUGCCCAGAAAGUGUGUCAAAUUGAGGUGACAAUAUAUUAUAUGGAAUCCCUUAUUUCAGUUGUUAGAUUUAGGUUUACGGUCUUCAGAGAGUACGGAGACAACAUUCCUCACAUGACUUUAUAUCAUAAGGCCAGGAGCUUUUCCUCAGUUACACCAUAUCAAAAAUAUUCCAGGCUUUAAAGGUAUAACUAACAGUGUAGUUUUUCCUGGUUAGAUCACAAGGUCAGGAUUCUGUUCAGGAAAACCUCCUGGCCCUAUGCAUGAACAUCAGUGGCUUAAAUAAAUCCCCAGUGGACUUAUGUCCAGUAAAGACACACAAAACAACCCCGUUAACAUUGACAAAACACCAGAACAAAAUCAAAUCCCUACAUCGCAAAAAAGUACACACCUGAUAGUGACAAAACAGUACCAAAAAGGAAAAAUAGAAAGCAACCCUACAGCCCUUAGAUAUAAAUGAAAAAUACAGACUUCAAGCAUCUCUAAUCAAUCAUUUUAGGCUAAAUAACACACACAAAUACUGAAAAUGUAUCUCAAACAAAUAUAGAGUCCACAGUUUUAUAUUACUAUUAACAUAAAAGUAUAUAAUAUUCCAGCAUUGGUUUUUUCACCAUACUGAAAACAACUUUUAACAAUAACAUGUUAUUUAUUCUUUGGGAAUCAUAAAAUACGGUUUGUUUUAUACAAUCAUUAAAAUUAACAUUUUAAUUUGAAUUUAUAUAACUAAAUACCAAUUUGAAAAUGUUCUCAACAAAACAAAUGAUCUGCAGUUUUUGGAAGAAACACACUGGCUAGUAAAAGUUAACUCACCCCUAGCAGUAAUAGCAUUAUGAUGCCUUACAUCUGAAGGUCACUCAUUUUAAUCUUCUUUCUACAGAUCUACACAAUCUACUUCAUAUUUUCUCUUGUGAAAGAAGCUUCUAGAUUAUCUCAAUAACAUAAAAACUAUUCUCUGUGCCAUUAAACCCCAGAGUAACCUCCUGGUAUAAGCAUCUUCAACAGUUAUUACAACUGUGAAUAGUUCUAAGUCAUAUCUUUGCCAUGUUACCAUGAUGCAAACUAAGCUUUUUUUUCUUCACAGAACAAUUACACAUAUUGUAAUGCAAAAGAGAAAUCAUUACAGUAUUUCAAAAGGAACUGAAUGUUGAGCGGACAAGCCUCAGUCCUGACUACGCUUGAGCAACUUCUUAUCCAGAAAAUAUUUAUCUGUUGGCGUCAGAGUUUUAGAAAUCUUAGACAUAUUUACAACUGUAAUAGCUAUAUAAACAACUGUAAUGGCUAUAUUAACAAGCUUCUACCAAGCAUUAACCCUGGGGUGUGAAGACAUACCCAACCCCCCCAUCCAUAUUAUGUAUUUUUUAUUCCUUUUAAUUGUUUAAAUUAAAAGGUCAUAAAAUAUAAUUUUCAUUUUCACAAUGUACGGAGUAGGUUGUGUAAAUCAGUGGAAAAUAAAUCUAAUGUAAUUAAUUAUUAGGUCAGCAACAUGAAGAAUUUAAAAGGGGUUUGUAGACCUUUACUAGCUACUGUACCCUUAGUAAAAACAUAACUGUAAUGGAUACAAUGUGGUCUGUUUGUAGAACGAUGCCUUAGUAUUAACCAUUUACUCUUGAACCUGGUCAAAGUCAACAAACAAUACUGCUGGAUGUUUAUGACAAAUACUUUAUACUGUGCCUUUCUCAUAUUGCCAAUAUUCCGGCAAUCAUGAACAAAAUAAAGAUCUGCAAGGUUUGAAAUUGGACUUCUGUAACAAACUAUUUCAUCAUUACUGAAACUGAAGUGAAUCAGAAAAAAUAAAACACAUUUAUAUGGAAAUCAGCGUGUUUGAAUUGACAUAAUACUGUCUUAAUAAAUUUCUUUAACGCUUGCGUAUAUUUCUAAAAGCCUUGCGUAUAUGCGGAUCAUGUUUAGUCUCUUUGCAGUCUGUGUCAUAAUCAUCCAACAGAAUACAGAUUACAUCAUGAUUAUAGCACGACAGCAUAACAUAAUCAAAUAUGAUUGCCUGGUAUGGCAGUACUGCAAGACAAAAACACCACAGCAUUUAAUCACUGCACAAACUAUAAUUUCUCCCAGUUUCCACUGGUGAAACAUGCAUGCAGCAAACAUCCGUGCAGGAUUAUUCUGCGGACCCUCAAUACGUUUCGAUACACGGAGAUAUGCAUUUCCAUCUUCUUGAGUAAGAUGAUGUUUAAAAGUAGCCUACAGUGUUGCAGACGAUGUUAACUACCUUCUGCAUAGACCGCGUUCAGUAUAUGGCCUAGUGGCGUGGCCUGAAGGACAUGAUACCUAUAUGGGGCAAAUCAGAUCCACAGCGAAUCCUUAAGUCAUGAUUUCAUUAAAAGAUUUAAACAAGCAUUUUAGCGCUACUUCUCAGUACUGUUUCCUAUCAUUCUGACACACGCAGAUUUUGGAAGUAAUCAGAUGAACACACACACAAGGAUAUAGAAACGACGUGAUGAAUCUGGGGCUAUGACAAAACUGGGUAAUGUAGUACACAAAUCUGACCUGCAGAAAACAUGGCAUCUACAAUACUGUCAACGCAUAAUUAGGGUGGACAGCAACAAAAUGUUAUUUAUUGACAUAUUGAGAACCAAUUCAGCUGUUCAUGGUGAUGGUGGGCGGAGAUGUACAGUCGUUGCAAACACUAUUGGCAUCCUUGCACUUAAUUGAAAAAAUAUGCACACUUUGUUCUAGUAAACUCUAGAAAAAGAAAUAAAAAUUGUCCGUGUAGUUCUUUGGUUUGCAGGAAAAAAACAGGAAUGUUUUACUAAAUCUCAGAGUAAACCAAAAAGAAAUCCUAAAAUCA